CCUAGGGUGGCAGCAGUGGGGAAUAUUGGACAAUGGGCGAAAGCCUGAUCCACCCAUGCCGCGUGUGUGAAGAAGGCCUUCGGGUUGUAAAGCACUUUCAGUGGGGAAGAAAGCCUUGGGGCUAAUACCCUCGAGGAAGGACAUCACCCACAGAAGAAGCACCGGCUAACUCCGUGCCAGCAGCCGCGGUAAUACGGAGGGUGCGAGCGUUAAUCGGAAUUACUGGGCGUAAAGCGCGCGUAGGCGGUCUGAUAAGCCGGUUGUGAAAGCCCCGGGCUCAACCUGGGAACGGCAUCCGGAACUGUCAGGCUAGAGUGCAGGAGAGGAAGGUAGAAUUCCCGGUGUAGCGGUGAAAUGCGUAGAGAUCGGGAGGAAUACCAGUGGCGAAGGCGGCCUUCUGGACUGACACUGACGCUGAGGUGCGAAAGCGUGGGUAGCAAACAGGAUUAGAUACCCGGGUAGUC
Molecule: ribosomal RNA, 464 nt
Filed under: Vreelandella stevensii
Lineage: Bacteria; Pseudomonadati; Pseudomonadota; Gammaproteobacteria; Oceanospirillales; Halomonadaceae
Description: partial 16S ribosomal RNA
Rfam family: Bacterial small subunit ribosomal RNA
Source: RNAcentral